GACGAACGUUGGCGGCGUGCUUAAUACAUGCAAGUCGACUGAAGCAGUGGUAGCAAUCUCGCUGUGGCGGUGGCGCACGGGUGAGUAACACGUAGGUAAUCUGCCUUCAGGUCUGGCAUAACUCCGGGAAACCGGGGCUAAUAGCAGAUGAUGCAGCGGCUCGACAUCGAGACAGUUGUUAAAGCUAUGGCGCCUGAAGAUGAGCCUGCGUCUGAUUAGCUAGUUGGCGGGGUAACGGCCCACCAAGGCAACGAUCAGUAGCUGGUCUGAGAGGAUGAUCAGCCACACUGGAGGUGAGACACGGUCCAGACUCCUACGGGGGGCAGCAGGAAGGAAUAUUGCGCAAUGGGAGAAAUCCUGAAGCAGCGACGCCGCGUGAGGGACGAAGGGCGUUAGCUUGUAAAUCGCUGUAGUGAGAGAAAAAAAUCGCGAUCUUUGGGACAUGAUGGUAACUCAAAAGUAAGCCCCGGCUAACUACGUG
Molecule: ribosomal RNA, 481 nt
Filed under: uncultured bacterium
Lineage: Bacteria
Description: partial 16S ribosomal RNA
Rfam family: Bacterial small subunit ribosomal RNA
Source: RNAcentral